CGGGGUGUAGCGCAGCCUGGUAGCGCAUCUGGUUUGGGACCAGAGGGUCGAAGGUUCGAAUCCUUUCACCCCGACCA
RNAcentral lists this transfer RNA (77 nucleotides) under Rubrivivax sp. Its description in RNAcentral is "tRNA-Pro". It matches the Rfam family "tRNA". From Rfam's summary of the family: Transfer RNA (tRNA) molecules are approximately 80 nucleotides in length. RNAcentral also lists the same sequence under 5 other names. The record is from RNAcentral. Lineage: Bacteria; Pseudomonadati; Pseudomonadota; Betaproteobacteria; Burkholderiales; Sphaerotilaceae.